GUGCCAGCCGCCGCGUAAUUCCAGCUCCAAUAGCGUAUAUUAAAGUUGUUGUGGUUAAAAAGCUCGUAGUUGAACCUUGGGCCUGGCUGGCCGGUCCGCCUCACCGCGUGCACUGGUCCGGCCGGGCCUUUCCCUCUGUGGAACCCCAUACCCUUCACUGGGCGAGAAAAAGGAAACAGGACAUUUACUUUGAAAAAAUUAGAGUGCUCCAGGCAGGCCUAUGCUCGAAUACAUUAGCAUGGAAUAAUAAAAUAGGACGCGCGGUUCUAUUUUGUUGGUUUAUAGGACCGCCGUAAUGAUUAAUAGGGACAGUCGGGGGCAUCAGUAUUCAACUGUCUGAGGUGAAAUUCUUGGAUCAGUUGAAGACUAACUACUGCGAAAGCUUUUGCCAAGGAUGUUUUCAUUAAUCAGGAACGAAAGUUAGGGGAUCGAAGACGAUCAGAUACCGUCGUAGUCUUAACCAUAAACUAUGCCGACUAGGGAUCGGACGGUGUUAUUCAUGACCCGUUCGGCACCUUACGAGAAAUCAAAGUGCUUGGGCUCCAGGGGGAGUAUGGUCGCAAGGCUGAAACUUAAAGAAAUUGACGGAAGGGCACCACCGAGGGGGUGCGCCUGCUGUCUUAAUUUGACUCAACACGGGGAAACUCACCAGGUCCAGACACAAUAAGGAUUGACAGAUUGAGAGCUCUUUCUUGAUUUUGUGGGUGGUGUGCAUGGCCGUUCUAGGUGGUGGGUGACUUGUCUGCUUAAUGCGAUAACGAACGAGACCUUAACCUGCUAAUAGCCCGCAUUGCUCCGGCAGUGCGCUGGCUUACUUAGAGGAC
RNAcentral lists this ribosomal RNA (824 nucleotides) under uncultured fungus. Its description in RNAcentral is "SSU rRNA". It matches the Rfam family "Eukaryotic small subunit ribosomal RNA", at positions 564 to 1419 of the family's 1831-position model. The record is from RNAcentral. Lineage: Eukaryota; Fungi.